GUUCAUGGCGGUUGUGCAUGGGGCACGCUUGCGUGCGCCGGUUUCUGUGUUCGCCGGUCUGUCAACCCAUGCACAGCUGCCACCAUU
Pseudomonas putida KT2440 is the source of this 87-nucleotide non-coding RNA. The record is from Rfam. Lineage: Bacteria; Pseudomonadati; Pseudomonadota; Gammaproteobacteria; Pseudomonadales; Pseudomonadaceae.